UACGUAGGUGGCAAGCGUUGUCCGGAUUUACUGGGCGUAAAGAGCGCGCAGGCGGUCGGAUAAGUCGAAUGUGAAAGCCCCCGGCUUAACUGGGGAGGGUCAUUCGAUACUGUUCGACUGGAAGGCAGGAGAGGGAAGCGGAAUUCCCGGUGUAGUGGUGAAAUGCGUAGAUAUCAGGAGGAACACCGAUGGCGAAGGCAGCUCGCUGGGACGGUACUGACGCUGAGGCGCGAAAGCGUGGGGAGCGAACAGG
RNAcentral lists this ribosomal RNA (253 nucleotides) under uncultured bacterium. Its description in RNAcentral is "partial 16S ribosomal RNA". It matches the Rfam family "Bacterial small subunit ribosomal RNA", at positions 524 to 776 of the family's 1533-position model. The record is from RNAcentral.